Arabidopsis thaliana (thale cress) is the source of this 231-nucleotide long non-coding RNA. RefSeq annotates it as other RNA. Lineage: Eukaryota; Viridiplantae; Streptophyta; Magnoliopsida; Brassicales; Brassicaceae. The transcript has a single exon. The record is from RefSeq.
ACAUGGAUGUAGGCGUGUUCUGACUCAUGUAAGUACUUAGAACGAGGAUUUACGGAAACAACCCUUUUAUGUUAUGAAUUUUACGUUCUCGAAAAUUGUGAAUUUUUUUUAGAGUAGCCUCUCUAAUAGGUUUAUAUAUGAAAUUUAGGAGGAUUAUUUGGAAAAUUCCUUCCGCUUAAUGAUAAAAUUCAUUCGUUUUAAGUUUUAACCUUAUGUUUCUCCUCUUUCACG